CUGCAGAGGCUGCAAGCCAGCAGAGUGAGCAAGGCUGAACUCAACAGGCAACAAUGAGCAGGCACGUAAGGACACAGAAAGGAAAUGGGUGAGCUUAAAGCAGGUUAGAAUGACUGGAGCAGCAGUCACUCCAAAUGACCCCUAAGGAAAGAGCCCGAAAGAAAAAAAGGCCUGGUAGGAUUAACAAUGCCUUUUUAUAAAGGAGUCAUUUCAGGACAUCUGACUUAAGGGAAGUGCCACAUUUAUGUAUUUUUAAUUGGACUGGAUUUAAGCCAUAUCAAGCUGAUGAUGCCGUUCUGAGUUCAAAAGGACAUUCUCUUUGCCUCAUAGCAUGGGAGCAAGGGGACAAUGCAAUUAGCGGGAAAGGCGGCACUUUCAAAAGCAGUAGAAGGAAUUAUUUUUAAAUUAAGCAGCUAUUGUAUAUUCCAUGUAUUUAAAGUAGCAGUGUCUUCUAGUCACUGGAAGGUGACUACCACUGUUUGGGUAGUGGCCAACAUCACGACUGGAGGAACAGUGGAUCAGGUGGUGGAGCUCGUUCAUUCUGGAGUCCUCAAACCUCUGCUCAACCUGCUCUCAGCCAAGGACAGCAAAACUAUCCUGAUCAUCCUGGACACCAUUUCAAAUCUUUUCCUGUCAGGAGGAAGAUACUGAACUAGAAACCAGGGACUGAGCUGUUUGGCAAUCAAGGAUCAUCUCCUCAAAGCUCAAGAGUGGUUCAUCCUGACAAGAAGAAAAUCAAGCAAAAAUCAAGUGGACAUGGAUGAGCACAGAUGUCUUGACUAAACUCUGGCAUAAAAAGGAAAUGCACAAAAGGUGGAAACGGGAGUUCCCCAAGGAUGAGAUCACUUUCUGCAGCACAAGGCCAGCAACCGGGAUGCAGCUUACACUGAUGCCUCACAACUGGCUAUUUACAGCAUUGCCACUCUGGCUCUGAGAGCAGACCUUGGGGCAACAGCAGCAGCUGCAGUAGUACAUAACGAGAGGUAGAGGCCAAGGAGAAGACAGCCACAAAAAACUGGGAAAGGCAGCUCAAUCGCAAUCAAGACCAAUUUUGUUAUUUCCUAAACAGCGGCAAGCUGACAGGGUAACAGAGGCAGACUGAGCAAUGGCAGGUGGUUGUGGCACAAGAGCCUCAAGGCUUCCUGCCUUCCCGGCUCUUGCCAAGCUCCAGCAAGCAGGCACAGAGAGACGUCUCAUACCAGCUGUGACGUGUCCCUUCCUAAACAGCCAGCAGCAAGGAAAGGGCCCAAAACUGAAAACAGGAUUUGGGGUGUGGCUUCAUCAGUGCCGAACACAGGGAGAUGAUCACUGCCCUAGUCCUGCUGGCCCGCACUAUUUGUGCUAGUGGACACUCUUGGCAUCCACACACCGUGCAGUUUUCAGGUGGUUGCUGCUGGACACCACACAGAAAAGCAACUGCCUCAAAUUCCAGUGAUGAGUUUCCAAAUAAACCAUAGGUGCAAAGU
This is a long non-coding RNA of Myiozetetes cayanensis, 1466 nucleotides long. RefSeq lists it as uncharacterized. The transcript is spliced from 4 exons. NCBI's taxonomy places the organism in Eukaryota, Metazoa, Chordata, Aves, Passeriformes, Tyrannidae. The record is from RefSeq and is a predicted model, not a curated record.